This 381-nucleotide long non-coding RNA is filed under the name Brassica napus (rape). RNAcentral describes it as "long non-coding RNA (BNAP_LNC015684)". Lineage: Eukaryota; Viridiplantae; Streptophyta; Magnoliopsida; Brassicales; Brassicaceae. The record is from RNAcentral.
GGUGGAUAGAGUUUUUUGAAUAUGAAAUUUAGGAUUCUAAUAAAUAUAUAAAUAAAUACUUUAAAAAAUAUAAAAAAUUGAAAAAUAGUUUCAAACGUAAUAUUCUAUUUUUAAAAAGAAAUUUUGAAGAAAAAAAUUCGAAAAAACAAAAAUUCAAAAAAAUAAGGGUUUAGGGUUUAGAGUUGAUGUUUCGGGGUUUAGGGUUUAGAGUUGAUGUUUCAGGGUUUAGGGUUCGUAUUUCAAAAAAAAAAAGUUUAGGAUUAAUGGUUAGGGUUUAUGGUUCGUAUAUCAACAAAAAAUAAGGUUUAGGAUUGAUGGUUUAGGGUUUAGAGUUGAGUUUUAGGGUUUAGGGCUUGAAUUUCGAAAUAGUAUAAUUCGAAA